Molecule: long non-coding RNA, 1185 nt
Filed under: Macaca mulatta (Rhesus monkey)
Lineage: Eukaryota; Metazoa; Chordata; Mammalia; Primates; Cercopithecidae
Description: lncRNA (ENSMMUG00000053092.1)
Source: RNAcentral
AAAUAAUUACCAUGUGUAGCGAAUUUUUUAAAAAGCAAAAUCAGUGCUUCUUAUUAAGAUGGUGCUUUGAGCUGUAAGAAUGCUAUUUUCAGAUUCCCUCAUGCCUCUGCUGCACAUUGCAUUGUGAAUUUGGCUUCAAGCAGACCAAGUCUUUUAGUCACAAGAGGGCACAACUACAGAAAUGGGUUAGACCGUGUUUUUCUUCUUCCUGUGACUGCAGAGAUGAAGGGAAUGAAGACUUCUGACACCAGCUUGCUUGAUGGACUCUGCUCUUCAGCAUCUUCCAAUAUCAGCUCUGCUACUUGCCUACUGGCUUGAUGUUCAAACACAUUCUAAGAUUGGCACUAACUUCUGGUACUUGUACAGUGUAUGCUCAACUUCAGGUUUGCCCAACUUCAAGCACAAGAAGGAAGACAGGAAGAGACCCACUGACUCUCACGUUGUUGUCCUUGCCUGGAUAAGGAAGCAGAGAAACGUAAAGGAAUACAUUCACAAACACACGUACACAAAGACAGAGAGGGACCUUGUGACGCUGAUACAUCCAAUGGCCAGGAGAUUUUGGGGGUAGAUUCUGCAUCUAUCCAAACGGUAAGCUUUCUAGAGUUUCAUAUUCCAAAGAGUAUCCUCUCCAUCCUGAUUCAUCAUUUGACGUUGAUAUCCAAAGCAGAACAGUGAAGGACCACAAGGGAGGUGAGGACAUGUUAUAUUAGAUUCAGUAUUUUCUUUUGUGUUUUCUGAGAGGAGUUGGAUUGCGCAGUCGGAAAAUGCAUUCAGCAAAUAAAAGAGGAAACGGAAUUGUGCUUAGAAAAGGAAAAUACCCUUGCAGUGGGAGGAAAGCUGGUCAGUAUGGAAAGCGCCUUGGUUUUCCAAUAGCGAAUGUUGUUUUUCUUCUUAUGAUGGCUUGCUUCUGCCUGCUCACAUAUGGUUUCAAGGUGUAUGUUCAGUUGAACUCCUGUGAACAAAUCAGGAUCAAGUGGUUCUUGGGUCUGAAAUGUUCUAUUUUAUCUUUUCGUCCGGGUCUUUCCUUUAAGAAUUGAAAGUACUGCUACCUCCACCAGGAAGCCCUCCAUGAAUACUCUGACCUUCCUAAUGGCAGCUUUCUCAGACCUCUCAGAGCAUGCAUGACAGGAAGGGGUAGCUUCAGCUUGAACCGUUGCUGCUUGCGGAUCUGACGUGAAUUAUUAU